GAGUCUGCGUUUCAUUAGCUAGUUGGUAGGGUAAUGGCCUACCAAGGCAACGAUGAGUAGCUGGUCUGAGAGGAUGAUCAGCCACACUGGAACUGAAACACGGUCCAGACUCCUACGGGAGGCAGCAGUGGGGAAUAUUGCGCAAUGGGCGAAAGCCUGACGCAGCAACGCCGUGUGAGGGAUGAAGGCUUUCGGGUCGUAAACCUCUGUCGGAAGGGAAGAACGGGCAUUGGUCUAAUAGGCCUUUGUUUUGACGGUACCUUUAGAGGAAGCACCGGCUAACUCCGUGCCAGCAGCCGCGGUAAUACGGAGGGUGCAAGCGUUAUUCGGAAUUACUGGGCGUAAAGCGCACGUAGGCCGCUUUGUAAGUCAGGGGUGAAAUCCCACGGCUCAACCGUGGAACUGCCUUUGAAACCGCAGAGCUUGAAUCCUGGAGAGGGUGGCGGAAUUCCUGGUGUAGGAGUGAAAUCCGUAGAUAUCAGGAGGAACACCGGUGGCGAAGGCGGCCACCUGGACAGGCAUUGACGCUGAGGUGCGAAAGUGUGGGGAGCAAACAGGAUUAGAUACCCUGGUAGUCCACACCGUAAACGAUGGACACUAGAUGUCGGGG
This 610-nucleotide ribosomal RNA is filed under the name uncultured delta proteobacterium. RNAcentral's name for it is "bacterial SSU rRNA". It matches the Rfam family "Bacterial small subunit ribosomal RNA", at positions 227 to 828 of the family's 1533-position model. Lineage: Bacteria; Deltaproteobacteria. The record is from RNAcentral.